CGAGUACGCCCCGCCUCGCCCCGGCGGCAGAGAGGAGACUAUGGAACGUCAGGUGAGGGCUCGGCCCGCGGUCCCCGUGGUCCCUGCAGCCCGGGCCGGGCCUGACCCUGGUGUGUCCCCUGCGCAGGUGCUGCUGAGCGAGCCCGAGGAGGCGGCGGCUCUGUAUCGGGGCCUUAGCCGCCAGCCCGCGCUGAGCGCCGCCUGCCUGGGCCCGGAGGUCACCACGCAGUACGGCGGCCAAUACCGGACGGUGCACACUGACUGCUGAGCAGAGAGUCUCCUUCAGGCACCAUGAAAGCUGUGCUGCGCAAGGCUGGAGGCACGGGCCCUGGGGAAGAGAAGCAGUUCCUGGAGGUCUGGGAGAAGAACCGGAAGCUCAAGAGCUUCAACCUGUCAGCACUGGAGAAACAUGGGCCUGUUUAUGAGGAUGACUGCUUUGGCUGCCUGUCCUGGUCGCACUCGGAGACACACUUGUUGUAUGUGGCAGAGAAGAAGCGCCCCAAGGCCGAGUCCUUCUUUCAGACCAAAGCCUUGGACGUCAGUGCCAGCGAUGAUGAGAUAGCCAGGCUGAAGAAGCCAGACCAAGCCAUCAAGGGGGAUCAGUUUGUGUUUUAUGAAGACUGGGGAGAAAACAUGGUUUCCAAAAGCAUCCCUGUGCUCUGCGUGCUGGAUGUCGAGAGUGGCAACAUCUCUGUGCUUGAGGGGGUCCCUGAGAAUGUGUCCCCUGGACAGG
This 733-nucleotide small RNA is filed under the name Pan troglodytes (chimpanzee). Its description in RNAcentral is "retained intron". The record is from RNAcentral. Lineage: Eukaryota; Metazoa; Chordata; Mammalia; Primates; Hominidae.